AGUAAAGUAAGUAAGAGCUUACGGUGGAUACCUUGGCAUUUAGAAGCGAUGAAGGGCGUGACUACCAACGAAAUGCUCCGGGGAGCUGGAAGUAAGCUUAAAUCCGGAGGUUCCCGAAUGAGGAAACUCUAUUAUACUACCUACUGAAUUC
RNAcentral lists this ribosomal RNA (151 nucleotides) under Chondrus crispus (carragheen). Its description in RNAcentral is "partial 23S ribosomal RNA". It matches the Rfam family "Bacterial large subunit ribosomal RNA", at positions 1 to 165 of the family's 2925-position model. Lineage: Eukaryota; Rhodophyta; Florideophyceae; Gigartinales; Gigartinaceae. The record is from RNAcentral.